GAUGAACGCUGACAGAAUGCUUAACACAUGCAAGUCAACUUGAAUUUGGGUUUUUAACUUAGGUUUGGGUGGCGGACGGGUGAGUAACGCGUAAAGAACUUGCCUCACAGCUAGGGACAACAUUUGGAAACGAAUGCUAAUACCUAAUAUUAUGAUAAUAGGGCAUCCUAUAAUUAUGAAAGCUAUAAGCGCUGUGAGAGAGCUUUGCGUCCCAUUAGCUAGUUGGAGAGGUAACGGCUCACCAAGGCGAUGAUGGGUAGCCGGCCUGAGAGGGUGAUCGGCCACAAGGGGACUGAGACACGGCCCUGACUCCUACGGGAGGCAGCAGUGGGGAAUAUUGGACAAUGGACCAAGAGUCUGAUCCAGCAAUUCUGUGUGCACGAUGAAGUUUUUCGGAAUGUAAAGUGCUUUCAGUUGGGAAGAAAGAAAUGACGGUACCAACAGAAGAAGUGACGGCUAAAUACGUG
This 467-nucleotide ribosomal RNA is filed under the name uncultured bacterium. RNAcentral describes it as "partial 16S ribosomal RNA". It matches the Rfam family "Bacterial small subunit ribosomal RNA", at positions 28 to 507 of the family's 1533-position model. The record is from RNAcentral.